AGUCGAGCGGACAGAAGGGAGCUUGCUCCCGGAUGUUAGCGGCGGACGGGUGAGUAACACGUGGGUAACCUGCCUGUAAGACUGGGAUAACUCCGGGAAACCGGAGCUAAUACCGGAUAGUUCCUUGAACCGCAUGGUUCAAGGAUGAAAGACGGUUUCGGCUGUCACUUACAGAUGGACCCGCGGCGCAUUAGCUAGUUGGUGGGGUAAUGGCUCACCAAGGCGACGAUGCGUAGCCGACCUGAGAGGGUGAUCGGCCACACUGGGACUGAGACACGGCCCAGACUCCUACGGGAGGCAGCAGUAGGGAAUCUUCCGCAAUGGACGAAAGUCUGACGGAGCAACGCCGCGUGAGUGAUGAAGGUUUUCGGAUCGUAAAGCUCUGUUGUUAGGGAAGAACAAGUGCGAGAGUAACUGCUCGCACCUUGACGGUACCUAACCAGAAAGCCACGGCUAACUACGUGCCAGCAGCCGCGGUAAUACGUAGGUGGCAAGCGUUGUCCGGAAUUAUUGGGCGUAAAGGGCUCGCAGGCGGUUUCUUAAGUCUGAUGUGAAAGCCCCCGGCUCAACCGGGGAGGGUCAUUGGAAACUGGGAAACUUGAGUGCAGAAGAGGAGAGUGGAAUUCCACGUGUAGCGGUGAAAUGCGUAGAGAUGUGGAGGAACACCAGUGGCGAAGGCGACUCUCUGGUCUGUAACUGACGCUGAGGAGCGAAAGCGUGGGGAGCGAACAGGAUUAGAUACCCUGGUAGUCCACGCCGUAAACGAUGAGUGCUAAGUGUU
RNAcentral lists this ribosomal RNA (781 nucleotides) under Bacillus zhangzhouensis. Its description in RNAcentral is "bacterial SSU rRNA". It matches the Rfam family "Bacterial small subunit ribosomal RNA", at positions 60 to 824 of the family's 1533-position model. Lineage: Bacteria; Bacillati; Bacillota; Bacilli; Caryophanales; Bacillaceae. The record is from RNAcentral.